Molecule: long non-coding RNA, 661 nt
Organism: Bubalus bubalis (water buffalo)
Lineage: Eukaryota; Metazoa; Chordata; Mammalia; Artiodactyla; Bovidae
Exons: 3
Source: RefSeq, a predicted model, not a curated record
UAAUGGAAAUACAGAGGUGGUGUGUGAUUCUGUUUCCAUGGUGAAUGCAAGGUCUAAAUCAGUUCUUGGUGAUGUGAUGGCAAGGACAGCCAUGGCUGGUGAAAUGUCAGCCUGCUAGCAACUGGCUCAGUCCCACCCGCUGACCAGGAGAGUCAGGAGCCGCACACAGGAAGGAGUGGAAGUUGUCAUGCGAAUCGAAAAAGAACCUAAGACUCAGCACCUGAGAGGAAUAUCCUAAGGUGGAGAGAGUGAAGGAUUAAGAACCUGCAGAGCUGGGACUGAGCCCAACUGUGAACCAUGACCUGUGUGCCACUGAGCAGAAACAAGGGAAGAAACGGGACUCUCACCAUCAGCCACGUGCCCACCUCUCGAGCAGAGGACCCUGGUGUUGGGAGUCAGGCAGACCUGAGUUCAGAUCCUGGAACUACCAGUGUGUCACCUAGAGGAGUCUACCUCUCGGUUAACAUUCUGUGAAAUGGAAAGCAUGGGGUUGUGGGCUGCAUAUGGAGAGAUGAUGGUUUUCAAAAUGGUAAAGCUCUGUACGAAAAGGCUAUGGCUUAUGUUAUUUUUUAAUUAGGGUAACUAGAUAAAACACUGGCCAGUUAUUGGAAUUUCAAAUAAGCAAAUAAAUUUUCAUUCUAAGUUUGUCUCAUGCAAUAUU